UAGGGAAUCUUCCACAAUGGACGAAAGUCUGAUGGAGCAACGCCGCGUGAGUGAAGAAGGGUUUCGGCUCGUAAAACUCUGUCGUUAAAGAAGAACAUAUCUGAGAGUAACUGUUCAGGUAUUGACGGUAUUUACCAGAANCCACGGCUAACUACGUGCCAC
Molecule: ribosomal RNA, 162 nt
Filed under: uncultured bacterium
Lineage: Bacteria
Description: partial 16S rRNA
Rfam family: Bacterial small subunit ribosomal RNA
Source: RNAcentral